RNAcentral lists this ribosomal RNA (483 nucleotides) under uncultured bacterium. Its description in RNAcentral is "partial 16S ribosomal RNA". It matches the Rfam family "Bacterial small subunit ribosomal RNA", at positions 30 to 507 of the family's 1533-position model. The record is from RNAcentral.
UUGAACGCUGGCGGCAGGCCUAACCCAUGCAAGUCGCGCGGAUGAAGGGAGCUUGCUCCUGGAUUCAGCGGCGGACGGGUGAGUAAUGCCUAGGAAUCUGCCUGGUAGUGGGGGAUAACGUCCGGAAACGGGCGCUAAUACCGCAUACGUCCUGAGGGAGAAAGUGGGGGAUCUUCGGACCUCACGCUAUCAGAUGAGCCUAGGUCGGAUUAGCUAGUUGGUGGGGUAAAGGCCUACCAAGGCGACGAUCCGUAACUGGUCUGAGAGGAUGAUCAGUCACACUGGAACUGAGACACGGUCCAGACUCCUACGGGAGGCAGCAGUGGGGAAUAUUGGACAAUGGGCGAAAGCCUGAUCCAGCCAUGCCGCGUGUGUGAAGAAGGUCUUCGGAUUGUAAAGCACUUUAAGUUGGGAGGAAGGGCAGCAAGUUAAUACCUUGCUGUUUUGACGUUACCAACAGAAUAAGCACCGGCUAACUUCGUG